RNAcentral lists this ribosomal RNA (496 nucleotides) under uncultured bacterium. RNAcentral describes it as "partial 16S ribosomal RNA". It matches the Rfam family "Bacterial small subunit ribosomal RNA", at positions 28 to 506 of the family's 1533-position model. The record is from RNAcentral.
GAUGAACGCUGGCGGCGUGCCUAAUACAUGCAAGUCGAGCGAACGGACGAGAAGCUUGCUUCUCUGGUGUUAGCGGCGGACGGGUGAGUAACACGUGGAUAACCUACCUAUAAGACUGGGAUAACUUCGGGAAACCGGAGCUAAUACCGGAUAAUAUUUUGAACCGCAUGGUUCAAAAGUGAAAGACGGUCUUGCUGUCACUUAUAGAUGGAUCCGCGCUGCAUUAGCUAGUUGGUAAGGUAACGGCUUACCAAGGCAACGAUGCAUAGCCGACCUGAGAGGGUGAUCGGCCACACUGGAACUGAGACACGGUCCAGACUCCUACGGGAGGCAGCAGUAGGGAAUCUUCCGCAAUGGGCGAAAGCCUGACGGAGCAACGCCGCGUGAGUGAUGAAGGUCUUCGGAUCGUAAAACUCUGUUAUUAGGGAAGAACAUAUGUGUAAGUAACUGUGCACAUCUUGACGGUACCUAAUCAGAAAGCCACGGCUAACUACGU